Molecule: ribosomal RNA, 393 nt
Filed under: uncultured bacterium
Lineage: Bacteria
Description: partial 16S ribosomal RNA
Rfam family: Bacterial small subunit ribosomal RNA
Source: RNAcentral
AUACGUAGGUGGCAAGCGUUGUCCGGAUUUAUUGGGUUUAAAGGGUGCGUAGGCGGUUUGCUAAGCGGGAUGUGAAAUGCCGGCGCUCAACGUCGGAAGUGCCUCCCGAACUGGUGGACUUGAAUGACUCUGCCGUGGGAGGAAUGUGUAGUGUAGCGGUGAAAUACUUAUAGAUUACACAGAACACCGAUUGCGAAGGCAUUUCACGAAGGGUUGAUUGACGCUGAGGCACGAAAGCGUGGGGAUCAAACUGGAUUAGAUACCCUGGUAGUCCACGAAGUAAACGAUGAUGGCUAACCGCUGGGCUUAUCAGUUCAGUGGCCAAGCGAAAGCGAUAAGCCAUCCGCCUGGGGAGUACGACCGCAAGGUUGAAACUCAAAUGAAUUGGCGGGG